Molecule: transfer RNA, 65 nt
Filed under: Trichosia splendens
Lineage: Eukaryota; Metazoa; Arthropoda; Insecta; Diptera; Sciaridae
Description: tRNA-His
Source: RNAcentral
AUUUAAAUAGUUUAUUUAAAAUAUUGAUUUGUGGGAUCAAAGAAAUAAUAUAGUUAUUUUAAAUA